ACGGAGCUUUCACCACACCAGGGAGGGCCGUGUGGAGGAGGGACUGUUGGCUAGGAGCUGUGACCUUGAGCAAGGACGGGACCCGCCACAAGGGGGAGCCAGGAGAACAAAGAGCCAUAUCCCUCCCUCCCUCUCUCCACCUCCUUCCAGGACUGUCUCUCUAAUGGUUAAAUCCUGGAAGUCAGAGACAAAGAAGCCAGUGGACGCAGUCCUUCCAGGUCAGACUCCCGAGCAGCAAGCAGCCGAAGGAAGGGUGCAGAGCGGACUGAUGGAACAAGGCAGGACCAUCAGCAGAGCCUUUCUACUCCUAGAUAUUUUACCCAGGAGAACAAAUACAUCCAUCCGUACAGAGACUUGUUCACAGCUGCCUGUGGAUCCUAGCCAAGAACGACACCACCCAAACACCCACCAACAGGAAAAAAUAAACAAAUUGUC
Non-coding RNA from Manis javanica (Malayan pangolin), 435 nucleotides. Lineage: Eukaryota; Metazoa; Chordata; Mammalia; Pholidota; Manidae. The record is from RefSeq and is a predicted model, not a curated record.